GAUUUCUAUCGAUUCUUUUCCCCCUCCCUUUGUUUCUUUUCUGUCGGCUUUACUGUCGUCUUUGAACAGUAUCAAAUCCUUCCUCCACUAUUUUCUCUGCUCUCCUUCCCUUACCCAACACCCCCCUCCUCCCCUCUGUCACUCUGUCCCUCACUGUUGUCUCCUACUAUUACGAUCACAACAAGAUUAUAUUAAUUGGUAAGCAGCAGCAGCAUCAGAGGAAGAAGCAAAGCUUUAUAAGAGAGAGAGAGAGAGAGAGAGAGUUGAGUCGUUCGUUGCUGGGGAGGGGAGGGGAGGGGAAGGGAGAGGGGGGCUUCCAUGACGGUCGAGAACGAGAGCCAUCGACACCACCACCAACUCUUGCCGCCUCUGCAGCCUCAAAGACGCAUCCCUUCGUCCACGUGCGACCUGCACCCGGGCGAGACGGUCACCGGCUUCUGCGCCUCCUGCCUCCGCGAGCGCCUCGCGGGGCUCGAGGCACCUGCCGCAGCCUCCGGCCGUAGGUCCACCUCUGCCCUUCGAUCCGUCUUCUCCAUGGUCACCGUCGGCGCGGGCCCUGCCGCCGGGCCGUCCUCCCUCCGCCGCUCCAAGUCCUUCUCGUUCAGCCGUGGCGGCGACGUCUUCUCGGCGCAGCGGCCCCGCGCAUCCGCCUUGGAACCCCAGCGCAGGUCCUGCGACGUCCGCGGCCGCAGCACCCUUUGGUCCCUCUUCCAUCAGGACGACCGGGACAGGGUGGGUCAGAACCCUUCCAUCCCACCCUUCUCCUCCUCCUCCUCUUCCUCCACCUCAACCUCCUCCGAGGCGGCGGCGGCGACGGCGCCGUCCACGAGCGGAGCGAUCGAGGUGGACUGCCGGAACCAAGGGCUUCCGGGCCCCUCCCUCGCUCCUCCAGUUUCCGGAACAUGCGAAGAGUAUGAGAUCGGCCAUGAGAUCAGGCCCAUUGGAACCUCGGGGGAGAUAAAUGAGGAAGGAAAGGGAGCAGCGGAGGAGGAAAUGGAGCUGAAGCCGAUGAAGGACCACAUAAAUCUCGACUCCGAGCAGCAGCAGCAGCAUCAGGCGAAGAAGCCACCGCAAAAGGACUUCAAGGAGAUCGCCAGCAGCGUCUGGCUCGCCGCCUCCGUCUUCAGCAAAAAGCUCCAGAAAUGGCGGAGAAGACAGAAGCCAAAGAACCAAGGUGGCGAAGCGACAAUGCCGGCGGAGGAACCCCCUAAAACGUCGCGGCGGUUCCACGACACGCAGUCGGAAGUCGCCAUGGACUGCUCCGGCCGAAGAUCCUGCGAUACCGACCCCCGCUUCUCUCUGGACGCCGCCCGGAUGUCCAUCGACGACCCCAGGUUCUCCUGGGACGAGCCGAGGGCCUCAUGGGACGGCUACCUGAUCGGAGGCCGAUCAGUGUUCCCUCGUCUCCCUCCCAUUCUCUCCGUCGUCGAGGACGCCCCUGCCCCGGCAGUCCAGCGGUCGGACUACCUUAUCCCCGUCGAGGCAGAUGCCGCCAUCCCAGGCGGGACGGCACAGACCCGGGACUACUACUUGGAUUCAUCCAGCCAGCGCCGGCGAAGCCUUGACCGAUCGAGCUCCAUCAGGGAGCAGCCUGUCGAGAUCAGUGAGCCAAAGCCGGUCUCCAACAGCAGAGUAUCCCCUGCAGGUGGCAUGGACUUCUUCCCCUUCCACCAUGGUGCCUCACUUGAGCGGGAGGUAAAAGAUUGGAGCUCAAAUUCCCUGAGAGAUGAUUACUCCGGCAGUUUUGAGUCAGCUUUUAGGGACCUUAACAAAGGUGCUUCCGCGAAGAAGUCAAGUAGGUGGAGCAAAGCAUGGAACAUUUGGGGGCUUCUUCAGCGAAGAAAUAGUAGCAGAGGAGAAGCCAAUAUGGUUGACAGAUCCUUGUCGGAGUCAUGGCCGGAGCUGCGGUGCAAGAGCACCAAUGGCAGGAUUCUAAGGAGUAACAGCAGUGUAAGCUCGAGGGUCUCUUCUCAUGCCAAUGCUGGGUAUGGGGUGAUGAGAACGAGCAGCAUGAGGUCCAGUGGGAAUGAUAAGAAGAAGAGUAGAGAUGAACCCGUUCUGGAGAGGAAUAGAAGUGCUAGAUAUUCUCCAAACCAUAUUGAGAACGGUAUGCUGCGGUUUUACUUGACACCAAAGCGAAAUGCACGGAGGAAUGGAGUUUCAGCUAGCCGAAGGCAGAUGAUGCCUUCGCCUUACCUUGCAAGAAGCAUGCUAGGACUGUAUUGAUCUGACUGUUGAACUCUAUCAGCUGGAAAGGAGCCAAUUUGAAGAUUGAAGACUGCAGCACACUUCAGAAGGUCGAACCUACUAAAAGGGAUCGAAGUGGGAUGAUAUCUAAGAAGAUAGGAUUCAUCAGCUGGGAUUGUACUCUUGCCUUGUUUGUUCAUGAACCUCCACUGCCAAGUUAUUAGAUUUUGUUUGGGACAAAUUUGAAGUCAGCUUGAUGGUGAACACUAGUAACAUAUGCACGACUAGGGAUUGGGAGGGUCAAGAGCUGAAGCUGGUUUGUGAAAAGUGUCAAAUGAUGCUGUGCACUCUACUAGGAGACCACUAUGGGGAGUUCAUCAAUUGAUUGUUCGGAUAAGAGGUUUUAGAGUGACAGCAUUCCUUGUAGUCAGUAGAUGAGUGUCAAGGUUUUUUAGUUUCUAGUGGAAUUUUUUAAAGUUCUACGAA
Molecule: RNA transcript, 2673 nt
Organism: Musa acuminata AAA Group (dessert banana)
Lineage: Eukaryota; Viridiplantae; Streptophyta; Magnoliopsida; Zingiberales; Musaceae
Gene name: protein OCTOPUS-like
Exons: 3
Source: RefSeq, a predicted model, not a curated record